Long non-coding RNA from Ictalurus punctatus (channel catfish), 3288 nucleotides. The record is from Ensembl. NCBI's taxonomy places the organism in Eukaryota, Metazoa, Chordata, Actinopteri, Siluriformes, Ictaluridae.
CUCGUGUUUGGAGCUUAAGUUCAGUUUAAUCAGGCGACCACAAUGCGUGCUACAUAAUUUUAGCUAGCUUUCAAACUUGACUCCUGGAAGCUUGUGAACGUAUGACGCUACACAAUAAGAAUAAUGACAUAAUUCUAGCUCGUAAUGUCUGCUAACAGAUGUUAACUCGUUUUAGCUAAGCUGGUUUGGUUAGCUAGUUUACUGGUAUACCAGUGGUUGUGGUAUUCAACCUGCUAUGUUAUGCUAGUCAGUGUCCUUUUGAGGUUUGUGAUUGGCUGAUUGGAUUUAAACUAAACAUAAGUGCUGAUCUUGUUGACCCAGGGAUCAUUCAACCAAAUCAGGAGUUGUGUGUGUGUGUGUGUGUGUGUGUGUGUGUGUGUGUGUGGUCAAAGGCUUUUAGUAGAACAUCAUAUAUCGAACCUCGAGAGAGCUUUCAGUACUUUUGCGUCUUCUGUCUUGCUAUAUUCCCUUUUACUCCCCCUUUCUACGCUCUUAAUUAAUUUCUCCUGUGCCUUCAUUUCUUGUUUUCCAUCCCGUCUCCUCUUCAUCCCAUUCUUCUAGGACGCUUUUAGAUUUGCAUAACCUCUUAGCUGGUCCCUGCGUGCUGAUGGACCGGAGCUCAUGUUUAUUAAAUGUUUGCUGAUGAUAGCAGACAUGUCUUUCUCUCUCUCUCUCUCUCUCUCUCUCUCUCUCUCUCUCACACACACACACACAUACACGCACUCGCAAUCUCUCCUUUUCCAUUACUUUCUCUACCGUGAUAUUAGGGGCUGUGUCUGUGUGCCAUCAUUCUUUCACGCUGCUGUGCUGUGCUGAAUGCAGCUCCCGGUCCCUGUUGCUCUGAGGGUCCCGCUCUGAAUGGAAAUGAGGGGACUCUAUAAUGAGUUCCACUCAUCCCGGGUUCCUGACCCUGCUGGCAACUGCGCGUUAAGAAGGGAUAGAAAGGAAAAAGAAAAGGACAGGGGAAGGCAAGAGGCUACAAGGCCAGGGUAAAAAAAAAAAAUCGUGUUUUUUUUCCCCUCCUCCCGCGUUUUACCUUCUAUCUCGGGAAGACGGGAUUGCUGAGUAGCUUCCAUGUUCCAUGAUCGUUCUGUUGCUGUAGACCUUCGCUCGAUUCUCCGACAUUCAUUACAGCCACCACAUAUCAAAUCCAGUAGUAUGCCGGUUCAGCUUUGUCUUUCAAACUUGCUUUACUAUAUUGAGGUCAUAUUGGACGAAAAUUCCUUCAGGAACCUCCGAGGAACCCUCCUGAAGAAGAACUCCACAAUUGCCGGACGAGUGAGUUCCUGUUCCGCAUUUCCACCACGGAUCGUGACCACCGUAUAUGCAAAAAUAGCAAGUGAUCCGAAAUGUGAGAUGGUUACAACAAAGUGAACAUGAAAGACUCGCUUGCUUUUGUCCAAUCAGCAACGUUCAGAGCAGAAAGCUCCACCCCUAUAGUUCCUGUUCUGUACAAAAGUACUGACUUGAAAGCAAGAAGUAAAAAUAUUCCAGGAACUACAACGCAAGAGGAAAAUUGCUGACCCAGGAACAGGAAGUAAAACUGGUCUAGGAACUACAGUACAACCCAGGAAUACUGACCCAGGAGCAGGAAGUAAAACUGGUCUAGGAACUACAGUACAACCAGGAAGUACUGACCCAGGAGCAGGAAGUAAAACUGAUCUAGGAACUACAGUACAACCCAGGAAGUACUGACCCAGGAGCAGGAAGUAAAACUGGUCUAGGAACUACAGUACAACCAGGAAGUACUGACCCAGGAGCAAGAAGUAAAACUGAUCUAGGAACUACAGUACAACCCAGGAAGUACUGACCCAGGAGCAGGAAGUAAAACUGAUCUAGGAACUACAGUACAACCCAGGAAGUACUAACCCAGGAGCAGGAAGUAAAACUGAUCGAGGAACUACAGUACAACCCAGGAAUACUGACCCAGGAGCAGGAAGUAAAACUGAUCGAGGAACUACAGUACAACCCAGGAAGUACUGACCCAGGAGCAGGAAGUAAAACUGGUCUAGGAACUACAGUACAACCCAGGAAGUACUGACCCAGGAGCAGGAAGUAAAACUGAUCAAGGAACUAAAGUACAACCCAGGAAGUACUAACCCAGGAGCAGGAAGUAAAACUGGUCUAGGAACUACAGUACAACCAGGAAGUACUGACCCAGGAGCAGGAAGUAAAACUGAUCUAGGAACUACAGUACAACCCAGGAAGUACUAACCCAGGAGCAGGAAGUAAAACUGGUCUAGGAACUACAGUACAACCCAGGAAGUACUAACCCAGGAGCAGGAAGUAAAACUGAUCGAGGAACUACAGUACAACCCAGGAAGUACUGACCCAGGAGCAGGAAGUAAAACUGAUCUAGGAACUAUAGUACAACCCAGGAAGUACUGACCCAGGAGCAGGAAGUAAAACUGAUCUAGGAACUAUAGUACAACCCAGGAAGUACUGACCCAGGAGCAGGAAGUAAAACUGAUCUAGGAACUAUAGUACAACCCAGGAAGUACUGACCCAGGAGCAGGAAGUAAAACUGAUCGAGGAACUACAGUACAACCAGGAAGUACUGACCCAGGAGCAGGAAGUAAAACUGAUCUAGGAACUACAGUACAACCAGGAAGUACUGACCCAGGAGCAGGAAGUAAAACUGAUCUAGGAACUACAGUACAACCAGGAAGUACUGACCCAGGAGCAGGAAGUAAAACUGAUCUAGGAACUACAGUACAACCCAGGAAGUACUGACCCAGGAGCAGGAAGUAAAACUGGUCUAGGAACUACAGUACAACCCAGGAAGGAAAGUCCAGACGUAAGAGCAGGAAGUAGAAAGGUUCCAGGAAAUACAACCCAAGACGAAAACGACGUCCUGUAUUGAAUAAACAUUAAUCAAAUUUUCCAUUUGACACAAUAGGAGGAGUUCUUUCUUAUGAGUUCUCAUUAGAACCAUUUUUUAAAUAAUUGUAUUUUCUCUCAGCGUACUGUAGGCAGCACCGAUAAAGCGCAACAUUUGUGUGAUCUGUUUGUUUUUUACAACAGAGGCGAGUCGAAAAAACGUGGGAGUGUUUGUGUAUACGUGCCAUUAAUAUCAAACGGCAAAACCUGGCUCGAAGAAGAAGAAAGCUCAAUGUUCCUCACAUACACCCCUGGACUUGAACCAGUUCCUGCCCCUUUUCCCUUUUCACCCCACAUUCCACCUUUCCAACAGAGGCGCCAGUUUGUGUGUGAGUGUGUGAGUAUGAGAGUGUGUGUGUCCAUAAAAUACCUCUCCGGGGCAUAAAGCCGAGGAAUGUGGCCAAUGGA